RNAcentral lists this ribosomal RNA (429 nucleotides) under Gemmatimonadota bacterium. Its description in RNAcentral is "Gemmatimonadetes bacterium partial 16S ribosomal RNA". It matches the Rfam family "Bacterial small subunit ribosomal RNA", at positions 355 to 776 of the family's 1533-position model. The record is from RNAcentral. Lineage: Bacteria; Pseudomonadati; Gemmatimonadota.
UAGGGAAUCUUCGGCAAUGGACGAAAGUCUGACCGAGCAACGCCGCGUGAGUGAAGAAGGUUUUCGGAUCGUAAAACUCUGUUGUUAGAGAAGAACAAGGACGUUAGUAACUGAACGUCCCCUGACGGUAUCUAACCAGAAAGCCACGGCUAACUACGUGCCAGCAGCCGCGGUAAUACGUAGGUGGCAAGCGUUGUCCGGAUUUAUUGGGCGUAAAGCGAGCGCAGGCGGUUUCUUAAGUCUGAUGUGAAAGCCCCCGGCUCAACCGGGGAGGGUCAUUGGAAACUGGGAGACUUGAGUGCAGAAGAGGAGAGUGGAAUUCCAUGUGUAGCGGUGAAAUGCGUAGAUAUAUGGAGGAACACCAGUGGCGAAGGCGGCUAUCUGGUCUGUAACUGACGCUGAGGCUCGAAAGCGGGGGGAGCAAACAGG